This 872-nucleotide long non-coding RNA is filed under the name Brassica rapa (field mustard). RNAcentral's name for it is "long non-coding RNA (BRAP_LNC003163)". The record is from RNAcentral. Lineage: Eukaryota; Viridiplantae; Streptophyta; Magnoliopsida; Brassicales; Brassicaceae.
UUCGUAGACAUUUUUCCUCCUGUCAACUCUCAUUCCCCUCUUCCGCCGUGACAGUGUCCUUUGUCCGAUGUGUCUCUCUCACUCCUUUUCUUCUCUGUGAUCGUGGGGAGAGCGUAAAAUCCUCCAGAUUCCUAAUCGGAAUCCAGUUCUUCACCGUUCUCCGUCCGAAUCUGCUCACGUCGUCGAAUCUCUUCUAGCGAUAGCUCAGAUAUGAAAUUACCCAACUUUGCUGGAUCAUCUGUGAAAUGGUUUUUCUCGAUCGUAACGUUAUCUUCAUCGUUGUCGCUCGUAAGUUAGAACUAGAUUUUGACCCGCGCUUUCAAAGCGCGGGUUUAUUUUUGUUUUUUUUUUUCAAUUGACAAAUAUUUAGUAAAUGUCACAUUUUCAUAUAUUUGUGUUUUAUUUUAUAAAAGAUUUAAAAAAAUUAUCUUUAUUUAUCGUAUUUCAUUUUAAAUGAUUAUUUAUGUUAAAAAAAUUAAACUUUAUUUUUUUAAUGAAUUAAGUUGGUAUAACUCUGAUAAAUUAAUUUUAUUAUGGGGUUAAUAUUUUAAUUAAAAAAUUAUAUACUUUUAAUAAAGAUUUAUACUUUUCAAUAAAAAAAUUCAAUUAUUUUUAUGAAUGCUUAAAUUAUAUUAAGAAAAUAAAAAAAUAAUAAUUAAGAAUAGUUAAAAAAAAUUAUUUGAACUUGGACUCAAUGGCCCAAAGGAAGAAAAAAAAGUGAGAAUUGAAUCUGAUUUUUUAAUAGGCCCAAAUGGCCCAAGAGAGAUUUGAUUUGGGCUGGAUCCAAAAAUAAUGACCCAAUAUAGAUUUGUUAUUAAUAUUACUUAAUUGCCAUUAAUGAAACAUGCAAUGUUAGUGAAAGAAACAUGCCU